GAGUUUGAUCAUGGCUCAGGAUGAACGCUGGCGGCGUGCCUAAUACAUGCAAGUCGAGCGAACGGACGAGAAGCUUGCUUCUCUGAUGUUAGCGGCGGACGGGUGAGUAACACGUGGAUAACCUACCUAUAAGACUGGGAUAACUUCGGGAAACCGGAGCUAAUACCGGAUAAUAUUUUGAACCGCAUGGUUCAAAAGUGAAAGACGGUCUUGCUGUCACUUAUAGAUGGAUCCGCGCUGCAUUAGCUAGUUGGUAAGGUAACGGCUUACCAAGGCAACGAUGCAUAGCCGACCUGAGAGGGUGAUCGGCCACACUGGAACUGAGACACGGUCCAGACUCCUACGGGAGGCAGCAGUAGGGAACCUUCCGCAAUGGGCGAAAGCCUGACGGAGCAACGCCGCGUGAGUGAUGAAGGUCUUCGGAUCGUAAAACUCUGUUAUUAGGGAAGAACAUAUGUGUAAGUAACUGUGCACAUCUUGACGGUACCUAAUCAGAAAGCCACGGCUAACUACGUCG
Molecule: ribosomal RNA, 517 nt
Filed under: uncultured microorganism
Description: bacterial SSU rRNA
Rfam family: Bacterial small subunit ribosomal RNA
Source: RNAcentral